This 200-nucleotide ribosomal RNA is filed under the name uncultured bacterium. RNAcentral's name for it is "partial 16S ribosomal RNA". It matches the Rfam family "Bacterial small subunit ribosomal RNA", at positions 30 to 232 of the family's 1533-position model. The record is from RNAcentral.
AUUGAACGCUGGCGGCAGGCCUAACACAUGCAAGUCGAGCGGUUGAGGUAGCUUGCUACCGAUGCAGCGGCGGACGGGUGAGUAAUACAUGGGAAUCUGCCUGGUAGUGGGGGACAACGUUUCGAAAGGAACGCUAAUACCGCAUACGCCCUACGGGGGAAAGGGGGGGAUCGCAAGACCUCUCGCUAUCAGACGAGCCC